Small nucleolar RNA from Candida albicans SC5314, 148 nucleotides. The record is from RefSeq and is a predicted model, not a curated record. Lineage: Eukaryota; Fungi; Ascomycota; Pichiomycetes; Serinales; Debaryomycetaceae.
UCAACAUCAUAAACAAGGUCUACACAUCUAUUGUGCACAUUAGAUUUCUGUUUUUUUUUUUUAACUAGGUAAAGACCGCUUUUACCACCUGUGAAACAUUUUGUUUUUUUAUUAAUUUUGAGUUUGCCACUGUCAAGAAAGAAGAUUA